This 460-nucleotide ribosomal RNA is filed under the name uncultured bacterium. RNAcentral describes it as "partial 16S ribosomal RNA". It matches the Rfam family "Bacterial small subunit ribosomal RNA", at positions 338 to 795 of the family's 1533-position model. The record is from RNAcentral.
CCUACGUGAGGCAGCAGUGAGGACUAUUGGUCAACGGACGAGAGUCUGAACCAGCCAAGUAGCGUGAAGGAUGACUGCCCUAUGGGUUGUAAACUUCUUUUAUAUGGGAAUAAAACGUUCCACGUGUGGGAUUUUGUAUGUAACAUAUGAAUAAGGAUCGGCUAACUCCGUGCCAGCAGCCGCGGUAAUACGGAGGAUCCGAGCGUUAUCCGGAUUUAUUGGGUUUAAAGGGAGCGUAGGUGGAUUGUUAAGUCAGUUGUGAAAGUUUGCGGCUCAACCGUAAAAUUGCAGUUGACACUGGCAGUCUUGAGUACAGUAGAGGUGGGCGGAAUUCGUGGUGUAGCGGUGAAAUGCUUAGAUAUCACGAAGAACUCCGAUUGCGAAGGCAGUUCACUGGACUGCAACUGACACUGAGGCUCGAAAGUGUGGGUAUCAAACAGGAUUAGAUACCCCAAUAGUC